UUCACGGUAUUGCAAUGAGAACAAUUUAAAACCCUUAGCGAGAAUCAAGUGGAGGACAAGUCUGGUGCCAGCACCCGCGGUAAUUCCAGCUCCACUAGCGUAUAUUAAAGUUGUUGCAGUUAAAAAGCUCGUAGUUGAACUUCUGUCUGGGGCUAGUUUUGGCUUUGGUCAGGCUAGUUCUAGGCAUCCGCCUACAAGACUUAGAGGGCAUUCAGUUGUUCACUAGGAGGAGUAGGCAUUUUACUUUGAAAAAAUUAGAGUUUUUAAGGCAGGCAAUCGCCCGCAUAUAUUAGCAUGGAAUAAUAGAAUAGGACACUUUUCCAUUUCGUUGGUUAUUGGAAUCGUGUAAUGAUUAAUAGGGACAGUUGUGGGCAUUUGUAUUUAAUUGUCAGAGGUGAAAUUCUUGGAUUUAUUAAAGACAAACUAACGCGAAAGCAUUUGCCAAGGAUGUUUUCAUUAAUCAAGAACGAAAGUUAGGGGAUCAAAGACGAUCAGAUACCGUCCUAGUCUUAACUAUAAACUAUUCCGACUCAAUGUUUGACUGGCUCAUAUAACCAGUUGAGCGUUGUAUGAGAAAUCAAAGUCUUUAGGUUCUGGGGGGAGUAUGGUUGCAAAGCUGAAACUUAAAGGAAUUGACGGAAGAGCACAACCAGGAGUGGAUUCUGCGGCUUAAUUUGACUCAACACGGGGAAACUUACCAGGUUAAAACAAUAGUGGGAUUGACAGUUUGAGAGCGCUUUCAGAUUGGUUGGGUGGUGGUGCAUGGCCGUUCUUAGUUGGUGGAGUGAUUUGUCUGCUUAAUUGCGUUAACGAACGAGACCUUAACCUGCUUACUAGACUGGCGAUCAUCAAUCGUUAGCUCUUCUUAGAGGGACUUUGGUUGUUUUAACUCCAAGGAAGUUUGAGGCAAUAACAGGUCUGUGAUGCCCUUAGAUAUCCUGGGCCGCACGCGGCAUACAAUGACUAGUUCAGAAAGUUUUCUCCUGACCCGAAAGGGGAUGGGUAAUCUUGAUAAUACUAGUCGUGUUAGGGAUCGAUCUUUGCAAUUAUAGAUCUUGAACGAGGAAUUCCUAGUAAGUGCGGUUCAUCAGACCGUACUGAUUACGUCCCUGCUCUUUGUACACACCGCCCGUCGCUUCUACCGAGUGGGUGGUCCGGUGAGAUAAUUGAACUUCGCAGGUAACUGAGAGGAAAGAUUAUCAAACCUAUCCACCU
RNAcentral lists this ribosomal RNA (1215 nucleotides) under metagenome. Its description in RNAcentral is "SSU rRNA". It matches the Rfam family "Eukaryotic small subunit ribosomal RNA", at positions 500 to 1774 of the family's 1831-position model. The record is from RNAcentral.